Long non-coding RNA from Ailuropoda melanoleuca (giant panda), 2188 nucleotides. RefSeq lists it as uncharacterized. The record is from RefSeq and is a predicted model, not a curated record. Lineage: Eukaryota; Metazoa; Chordata; Mammalia; Carnivora; Ursidae. The transcript has 4 exons.
GAACGAAUGAGGUGUCCGUCGCACAAGCUAAGUACUCUGCAACCCCUGGAACUAACCAGUUCGUGGAAGUAAGGAAUUUACCACCGUGAGGUCGCCGUAAAUAUCAGUGUGUGUUCGGCUAAGUGGUGAGGACACGGAAGAGCACAAGACAGCGGGCAGGAAGCUACGGUGUCUGCUUAAGGAAAUGUCUGGAAUUGAGAUUUCCUGCCAGUUCUCCCUUCCGCUGGCUGACAAAGGACAGACGUCCUUCUGAAGCUGAACAGUGUGCGGUGUGUUGUCCUGAGGUGGAAACCCCCCACCCCUGGCCUGGCGAACAGACCAUUUGAAAUACUGGCGUUGGUGAGGGCUUCUGUGUCCAUCAAAGGCACUGUAAACCGGUGAGAGGGCUUCCCGUAUUUCUGCGUCUUACGCAUACACUUAUAAAGGCAAAAUGUGGCAAUCAGACACAAGCACUGUUUACAAUAGCUGAGACAUGGAAGCCACCUAAGUGUCCGUCAAUAAUGAAUGGAUAUAGAAGAUAUGUGAUUUCCUCCUAUUGUCUCCUAAACCAGUCCCGAGGAAAACCAUGGCAUGCUCUCACAGGGGAAGGUUCUUCUCGACUGAAAAAGGAAGUAUAAACAGACACAACAUGGAAAGCUAGGAGAGUAACAAGCCUUUGGUGAAAAGAGGAGUCUUGCACUAAGACAGUGACCAGACCCAACGUGACCACAGAAACCAGUGGGAGGUCAUCCAGGUAGAAUGAAUGGUACCUUGAGCCAUUGUACCACUGCACUUAUAAUGAGAAUUGACUCUGGCCAUCUUCAGCAGGAAAAUAAUUUAUUGGAAGGAUAUUGGAAACUCCCAAGUCAGUAUGAAGGCUGGAGAACCUGACUCAAAAAAUGGAUGGGAAGCAAGCCAGAUACAUAGCUGGGAUGACAGCACUCACCAGCUCUCAGCAGGUGCUCUUGCUUUCAUUCUCAACACAUUCACGCUAGACACUAGCUAACCCCACCUCAGGACUCUCUCAACUCUGCUGUCCCUGCCAGCGCAAAUAGCUUCUUACCUGCCCCUCAGUCUGUACAUCAGCCCCUCAGGUUUUAAAGUCCUGCAUGGGACCUAAAAUAGAAUUGACCAAGUCUAGGCCAUACUGGAUAUAUCGAUGUCAGGAGCAACGAAAGGAAAUAUCUGCUUCCUUUGUUUUUCCUAAUGAAAAGUGGGGUCCUGCCAGCACACCUACUGUGUACUAAACCAGCAGAGCCCAGAGACAGAAUGCAGAAAUUUUAUAGUGGGUCGUUCGGUGAAAUUGUAAGUGGUACCCUCAUGAUUCUUCCCCCAAAGCUCCUGAAUUUGUGUGUUCUAGGACAGGGAGAAAGAAUGCCAUUUAUUCAUCAUUAAUUCAAAGUAAAGGCUUCUUCCUGAGGGACAGUAUCACAAAUCUGCAAGGCAUUGUCUACCAGCCGGUAGCCAGCUGGAACCACAUCUGAGUCUUCGUUAGAUCUUUCCGUCUUUCUGUAAGUUCAGUUGCUUCUGGAUAGUAGGACACUUGGCUACACCAGUGAAUUCUACAGUCAUCAGCCCAUUGCCUUAUUUCUAUCUCUGUAAAGCGAGUUUCUUGGAGCAAUCUAUUCACAAUUUAAAUUUUUAUUAUAGGUCAGUUUAUUUAAAUCAUUUCAAAAGUGUAUUUGAGUGGCAUUGUCAUAUAUUAGGAGUCAUCUUAACCGCUUAUUUCAAGAUAUUUGGAAAAUAAAUAUCAAGAAAAUCACAAUUAUUAUAAAAUAAAAAAUCUGGAGUAGGGAUGCUAUUAUGAUGUUUAAGAAUUUAAGUAAGUUCCUCUGAAGAAAGUGUCAGUAGAAACACAGUGGGGCAGUGAAAACAAACCUAAAUAUAAAACAGCUGUCUAUUUCAGUGGGUAGGUUCUUCCCCUACCACAAUGGAAGGGUCCAAUAUAAAUAGCUUCUACCAGGUAGUUGACUGGCCCUGCUGGGAACAGGACCAUCCUAGUGCUCAGGACUGUUUGCGACUCCGGCCAGUAGGGGACUCAGCUCAGGUACAGCCGGAUCACAGUGAUGGGAGAAAGUCCUUCCUUGUUGCUAGGGUUCAUGUCAUUAGGUUCAUUCCCGCCACCAUAGCUGUUUUGUUAACAAGUCCAUUGAUCAAGUACCAUGACUGAUGGUCAUCUUUAAUAAAAGUCAUUUUCUCGUCCUGAUUA